UUAACAAAAACAUGUGUUUUUGAGUUAUUUUUAAAGUCUGACCUGCCCACUGAAAUUAUUUAAAUGGCCGCAGUAUUUUAACUGUGCAAAGGUAGCAUAAUCAUUAGUCUUUUAAUUGAAGGCUGGUAUGAACGGUUGGACGAGGUAUAAGCUGUUUCAUAUAAAUUUAUAAUAGAAUUUUAUAUUUUAGUCAAAAAGCUAAAAUUUUAUUAAAAGACGAGAAGACCCUAUAAAUCUUUAUACUUUGUGUUGUUUAAAUUUUUUAGAUUUAUUUUAUUUUUAUGACUUAAAGUAUUUUGUUGGGGUGAUAUUAAAAUUUGAUGAACUUUUAAUUGUUUAAGAUCAUUAAUUUAUGAUUUAUUGAUCCAUUAGUAGUGAUUAUAAGAUUAAGUUACUUUAGGGAUAACAGCGUAAUUUUUUUGGAGAGUUCUUAUCGAUAAAAAAGUUUGCGACCUCGAUGUUGGAUUAAGAUAUAUUUUUAGGUGUAGCCGCUUAAAUGUUAAGUCUGUUCGACUUUUAAAUUCUUACGUGAUCUGAGUUC
Molecule: ribosomal RNA, 541 nt
Filed under: Bactrocera frauenfeldi
Lineage: Eukaryota; Metazoa; Arthropoda; Insecta; Diptera; Tephritidae
Description: partial 16S ribosomal RNA
Rfam family: Bacterial large subunit ribosomal RNA
Source: RNAcentral